Molecule: ribosomal RNA, 497 nt
Filed under: uncultured bacterium
Lineage: Bacteria
Description: partial 16S ribosomal RNA
Rfam family: Bacterial small subunit ribosomal RNA
Source: RNAcentral
GAUGAACGCUGGCGGCGUGCCUAAUACAUGCAAGUCGAGCGAACGGACGAGAAGCUUGCUUUUCUGAUGUUAGCGGCGGACGGGUGAGUAACACGUGGAUAACCUACCUAUAAGACUGGGAUAACUUCGGGAAACCGGAGCUAAUACCGGAUAAUAUUUUGAACCGCAUGGUUCAAAAGUGAAAGACGGUCUUGCUGUCACUUAUAGAUGGAUCCGCGCUGCAUUAGCUAGUUGGUAAGGUAACGGCUUACCAAGGCAACGAUGCAUAGCCGACCUGAGAGGGUGAUCGGCCACACUGGAACUGAGACACGGUCCAGACUCCUACGGGAGGCAGCAGUAGGGAAUCUUCCGCAAUGGGCGAAAGCCUGACGGAGCAACGCCGCGCGAGUGAUGAAGGUCUUCGGAUCGUAAAACUCUGUUAUUAGGGAAGAACAUAUGUGUAAGUAACUGUGCACAUCUUGACGGUACCUAAUCAGAAAGCCACGGCUAACUACGUG